UCAUAACGACUCUCGGCAACGGAUAUCUCGGCUCUCGCAUCGAUGAAGAACGUAGCGAAAUGCGAUACUUGGUGUGAAUUGCAGAAUCCCGUGAACCAUCGAGUCUUUGAACGCAAGUUGCGCCCRAAGCCAUUAGGCCGAGGGCACGYCUGCCUGGGCGUCAC
Molecule: ribosomal RNA, 164 nt
Filed under: Linaria rubioides
Lineage: Eukaryota; Viridiplantae; Streptophyta; Magnoliopsida; Lamiales; Plantaginaceae
Description: 5.8S ribosomal RNA
Rfam family: 5.8S ribosomal RNA
About the family: 5.8S ribosomal RNA (5.8S rRNA) is a component of the large subunit of the eukaryotic ribosome. It is transcribed by RNA polymerase I as part of the 45S precursor that also contains 18S and 28S rRNA.
Source: RNAcentral